Molecule: small nucleolar RNA, 80 nt
Organism: Ictidomys tridecemlineatus (thirteen-lined ground squirrel)
Lineage: Eukaryota; Metazoa; Chordata; Mammalia; Rodentia; Sciuridae
Source: Ensembl
GAUCAAUGAUGAAAAUAGCCAAAUCUGAACAUCAGAAGACAUCCUAGUCAAUCUGAUGCAUGAUCUGUAGUGUUCUGAGA